UACGUAGGGUGCAAGCGUUAAUCGGAAUUACUGGGCGUAAAGCGUGCGCAGGCGGUUUUGUAAGUCUGUCGUGAAAUCCCCGGGCUUAACCUGGGAAUUGCAUUUGUGACUGCACGGCUAGAGUGUGUCAGAGGGGGGUAGAAUUCCACGUGUAGCAGUGAAAUGCGUAGAUAUGUGGAGGAAUACCGAUGGCGAAGGCAGCCCCCUGGGAUAACACUGACGC
This 223-nucleotide ribosomal RNA is filed under the name uncultured bacterium. RNAcentral describes it as "partial 16S ribosomal RNA". It matches the Rfam family "Bacterial small subunit ribosomal RNA", at positions 524 to 746 of the family's 1533-position model. The record is from RNAcentral.